Molecule: ribosomal RNA, 478 nt
Filed under: Veillonella parvula
Lineage: Bacteria; Bacillati; Bacillota; Negativicutes; Veillonellales; Veillonellaceae
Description: bacterial SSU rRNA
Rfam family: Bacterial small subunit ribosomal RNA
Source: RNAcentral
GACGAACGCUGGCGGGCGUGCUUAACACAUGCAAGUCGAACGAAGAGCGACGGAAGCUUGCUUCUAUCCAAUCUUUAGUUGGCGAACGGGUGAGUAACGCGUAAUCAACCUGCCCUUCAGAGGGGGACAACAGUUGGAAACGACUGCUAAUACCGCAUACGAUCUAAUCUCGGCAUCGAGGAUGGAUGAAAGGUGGCCUCUACAUGUAAGCUAUCACUGAAGGAGGGGAUUGCGUCUGAUUAGCUAGUUGGAGGGGUAACGGCCCACCAAGGCGAUGAUCAGUAGCCGGUCUGAGAGGAUGAACGGCCACAUUGGGACUGAGACACGGCCCAGACUCCUACGGGAGGCAGCAGUGGGGAAUCUUCCGCAAUGGACGAAAGUCUGACGGAGCAACGCCGCGUGAGUGAUGACGGCCUUCGGGUUGUAAAGCUCUGUUAAUCGGGACGAAAGGCCUUCCUGCGAAUAUUGAGAAGGAUUG